UACAGAGGUGGCAAGCGUUGUUCGGAAUUACUGGGCGUAAAGGGCGCGUAGGCGGCCUUCUAAGUCAGACGUGAAAUCCCCCGGCUUAACCUGGGAACUGCGUCUGAUACUGGGAGGCUUGAGUAUGGGAGAGGGAUGUAGAAUUCCAGGUGUAGCGGUGAAAUGCGUAGAUAUCUGGAGGAACACCUGUGGCGAAAGCGGCUCACUGGACCACAACUGACGCUGAGGCGCGAAAGCGUGGGGAGCGAACAGG
RNAcentral lists this ribosomal RNA (253 nucleotides) under uncultured bacterium. RNAcentral's name for it is "partial 16S ribosomal RNA". It matches the Rfam family "Bacterial small subunit ribosomal RNA", at positions 524 to 776 of the family's 1533-position model. The record is from RNAcentral.